RNAcentral lists this ribosomal RNA (474 nucleotides) under uncultured organism. RNAcentral's name for it is "partial 16S ribosomal RNA". It matches the Rfam family "Bacterial small subunit ribosomal RNA", at positions 335 to 800 of the family's 1533-position model. The record is from RNAcentral.
ACUCCUGCGGGAGGCAGCAGUGGGGAAUUUUGGACAAUGGGCGAAAGCCUGAUCCAGCAAUGCCGCGUGUGUGAAGAAGGCCUUCGGGUUGUAAAGCACUUUUGUCCGGAAAGAAAUCCUUGGCUCUAAUACAGUCGGGGGAUGACGGUACCGGAAGAAUAAGCACCGGCUAACUACGUGCCAGCAGCCGCGGUAAUACGUAGGGUGCGAGCGUUAAUCGGAAUUACUGGGCGUAAAGCGUGCGCAGGCGGUUUGCUAAGACCGAUGUGAAAUCCCCGGGCUCAACCUGGGAACUGCAUUGGUGACUGGCAGGCUAGAGUAUGGCAGAGGGGGGUAGAAUUCCACGUGUAGCAGUGAAAUGCGUAGAGAUGUGGAGGAAUACCGAUGGCGAAGGCAGCCCCCUGGGCCAAUACUGACGCUCAUGCACGAAAGCGUGGGGAGCAAACAGGAUUAGAAACCCUGGUAGUCCCAUGA